CCUACGGGAGGCAGCAGUGGGGAAUAUUGGGCAAUGGAGGAAACUCUGACCCAGCGACGCCGCGUGCGGGAUGAAGGCCUUCGGGUUGUAAACCGCUUUCAGUAGGGAAGAAGCGAAAGUGACGGUACCUACAAAAGAAGCACCGGCUAACUAUGUGCCAGCAGCCGCGGUAAUACAUAGGGUGCAAGCGUUGUCCGGAAUUAUUGGGCGUAAAGAGCUCGUAGGUCGUUUGUUACGUCGGAUGUGAAAACCUGAGGCUCAACCUCAGGCCUGCAUUCGAUACGGGCAAACUAGAGUUUGGUAGGGGAGACUGGAAUUCCUGGUGUAGCGGUGGAAUGCGCAGAUAUCAGGAGGAACACCAAUGGCGAAGGCAGGUCUCUGGGCCAAUACUGACACUGAGGAGCGAAAGUCUGGGGAGCGAACAGGAUUAGAUACCCUGGUAGUCCAGACCGUAAACGGUGGGCACUAGUUGUGGGAACCUUCCACGGUUUCUGCGACGCAGCUAACGCAUUAAGUGCCCCGCCUGGGGAGUACGAUCGCAAGAUUAAAACUCAAAUGAAUUGACGGCUGAGAGUGCGACGACGACGACGAGGGAGGUAGG
Molecule: ribosomal RNA, 601 nt
Filed under: uncultured bacterium
Lineage: Bacteria
Description: bacterial SSU rRNA
Rfam family: Bacterial small subunit ribosomal RNA
Source: RNAcentral